GGAUUGUGGCUCAGUCGGUAGAGUGCUUGCCUCGAAUGUGUGAAGCACUGGGUUCAAUCCUCAGCACCA
RNAcentral lists this transfer RNA (69 nucleotides) under Marmota monax (woodchuck). RNAcentral describes it as "tRNA.Ser". The record is from RNAcentral. Lineage: Eukaryota; Metazoa; Chordata; Mammalia; Rodentia; Sciuridae.